RNAcentral lists this long non-coding RNA (251 nucleotides) under Brassica napus (rape). RNAcentral describes it as "long non-coding RNA (BNAP_LNC009302)". The record is from RNAcentral. Lineage: Eukaryota; Viridiplantae; Streptophyta; Magnoliopsida; Brassicales; Brassicaceae.
UCAAAAUGACACAUAGAUUAUUAAUUAAAAAACAUUAAAUUAAAUAAAAAAUAGCUAUAAAAAAUAAAAACGCUAAUUUUAACGACGCUAACGCUUCCAGCGAAACCCUAAACCCUAAAUCUUAAAUUCUAAACCUUAUACCCUAAAUUCUAAACCCAAAUUCAAACCCCUAAACCCAAACCCUAUACCCUAAACCCUAAUCCUGGACCCUAAACCCAAAUUAUAUAUCUUAAACCCAAAAAAUAGACUAU